UUCAUGGAGAGUUUGAUCCUGGCUCAGGACGAACGCUGGCGGCGUGCCUAAUACAUGCAAGUCGAGCGGACAGAUGGGAGCUUGCUCCCUGAUGUUAGCGGCGGACGGGUGAGUAACACGUGGGUAACCUGCCUGUAAGACUGGGAUAACUCCGGGAAACCGGGGCUAAUACCGGAUGCUUGAUUGAACCGCAUGGUUCAAUUAUAAAAGGUGGCUUUUAGCUACCACUUACAGAUGGACCCGC
Molecule: ribosomal RNA, 244 nt
Filed under: Bacillus paralicheniformis
Lineage: Bacteria; Bacillati; Bacillota; Bacilli; Caryophanales; Bacillaceae
Description: partial 16S ribosomal RNA
Rfam family: Bacterial small subunit ribosomal RNA
Source: RNAcentral